RNAcentral lists this ribosomal RNA (114 nucleotides) under Pisolithus tinctorius. RNAcentral describes it as "partial 5.8S ribosomal RNA". It matches the Rfam family "5.8S ribosomal RNA", at positions 1 to 110 of the family's 154-position model. From Rfam's summary of the family: 5.8S ribosomal RNA (5.8S rRNA) is a component of the large subunit of the eukaryotic ribosome. Lineage: Eukaryota; Fungi; Basidiomycota; Agaricomycetes; Boletales; Pisolithaceae. The record is from RNAcentral.
UACAACUUUCAGCAACGGAUCUCUUGGCUCUCGCAUCGAUGAAGAACGCAGCGAAUCGCGAUAAGUAAUGUGAAUUGCAGAUUUUCCGUGAAUCAUCGAAUCUUUGAACGCACC